CUAUCUUAUAUUUUACAUUCGGUCAUUAUUUUACAUUCACCAUUGUUGCAUUGCUAACGUGGCUAGAAGAGCUUAGUAAGAUAGCCAACAACUCACAUUUAAAAAAAAUAAUUGUGUUGCAAUUCCCGAACAAUCAUCAACAUGCCUAAAAGAAAGAGUGCUACCAAGGGAGAUGAGGUAUGCAUACAAAUAUUCACAAUAUUAAUUCUAAACUGUUAGCUUGUGUAUUCGUUGUAAUUUUUACACUUUAACUGAACUACAACUUAUAAAUGCUGUAUAGGAUGUUCAUAAAGUCUUGAGCAAUUAGGUCUACAUAAAUGCUUCACGGAUCAUUUGUUAACACUUAUAUACAUAAAGGGUGAUAUGAAAGGUUGGUGCUUUGCUUAUGAAUUGUAAUUUUAUAUCAUCUUUAUUCAUUCAAAGUUGUAGUUUGUUUAAAGUGGGAUCGUUAUAGUAGUAACUGAGUCAUUGCUAGAUAUGUAACAUGUGUUUCUUUUUCAGCCUGCAAGACGUUCAGCACGUUUGUCAUCUAGACCUGCGCCAAAGCCGGCUGCCAAACCCAAAAAAGCGGCAGCACCCAAAAAGCCAGUCAAAGGAAAGAAGGCAGCUGAGAACGGUGAUGCCAAGGCUGAGGUCUGAAAUAAGUCCAUUUCCCUCCCAUUUCUAGGCGAAGGUUGAAGCCGCCGGAGACGCCAAAUGAAGAACUGUUUGAAGUUGUGAUCAUUCUGUGUACUUGGUGACUGUACAGUUUAAAAUAAGUAUUUUUUACCAAGUUUUUUUUAUAUUAAAAGAUAUCAUUUAUAGUUCAUUGUGGGCUUACAUUUGACGUAAUGAAGCUGUUCCAAGGGGUUGUCACGUUCAUAUCCAUUUUUUUAUGCCUUGUUUAAAUGAAUACCGUCCUUAUCCAGUCAAAGUUUUAAAAACCACACAAAAAAAACUUCUAACCCUGUUUUAUUUUUUUACUGCUGAAUGUUAUUUUCCAACGUAAAUCUAAACAUUAAAGGCAGCUAAAGUGUGUUUCUAAAAUGUUUAAGAGGAAUAGGGUUUUUGCCACUCCUUUUAGUUUUUUAUUGUACAAGUAAUAUGAAUUAAUUACAUACCAAAUGUUUUGAAUCAACAUCAGAUCUUCUCAUUCAGGAGACAAAAGACACCGUUUGAAAGUAAUCACUAACUUGUAUUAGGUCAACACACAAAAUGAAUAAUGUGAACUUAAUCAUUUGUUCUAUUGUUUAUUUUAUUAAAUUGUUCUGUAAAAACAGUGGAAAGAGCUAUUGUGACGCCUAUGAAAUUUUAAAUGUUCUUGAAUAAAAUGAUAAAAAGGC
This is a long non-coding RNA of Oncorhynchus nerka (sockeye salmon), 1322 nucleotides long. RefSeq lists it as uncharacterized. The transcript has 5 exons. The record is from RefSeq and is a predicted model, not a curated record. NCBI's taxonomy places the organism in Eukaryota, Metazoa, Chordata, Actinopteri, Salmoniformes, Salmonidae.